Benincasa hispida (wax gourd) is the source of this 514-nucleotide long non-coding RNA. RefSeq lists it as uncharacterized. NCBI's taxonomy places the organism in Eukaryota, Viridiplantae, Streptophyta, Magnoliopsida, Cucurbitales, Cucurbitaceae. The record is from RefSeq and is a predicted model, not a curated record.
CUCUGGUGGUUACAACACUUAACAGAAAGAGGUCAACAAUGGUUCAACUGUCAGCUGCAAUGUUCUACUUCUUGAUUUCUCGUCUUUCUGUAACUCGAAUCCGAGAAGGUCAAGCAUCUGUCAAGCUUGUUUAAUGGAACAGUUUUGGUUAGCAUAUCAGCUGCAUUAUCAGAGGCGAUUCAAUCAAAGAUGAAGCUCUAGUGGUUACAAUAUUUAACAGAAAGAGGUCGACAACGAUUCAACUGUCAGCUGCAAUGUUCUAAUUCUUGAUUUCGAGUUUUUCUGUAACAAAUCUCUCUUUCCAUGUGUGUAAGUUGUAGAAACAAAACCCAAGCAAGCUGUAAUCUAUUACAUUGAUAGAUGCGAACUUGGAUUUGUGCUCUUAUUUUACAUCAUUGCACAAACUAGAGGAAGGAAGUUCGUGCACUCUCAUGUUUGCUUGAUAAAUCUAUAAAGGCAACCCACUCUAAAAUAUUCUUCAAUUACCAAGAUGUAUUAAUUAUUGAUAAAUGAG